CACUAAACAGCUAGCCCCACCAACCAAAAACAACAAACCACUAUUUAUACCCCCCAAUACACCAACCCCCCCAAAAACAAACCAUUUUACCUCCCAAGUAUGGGCGACAGAAAAGGACCCGUGGCGCCAUAGAAAAAGUACCGCAAGGGAACGCUGAAAAAGUAAAUGAAAAAAUUCAGUAAAGUAAAAAAAAGCAGAGACUAGCUCUCGUACCUUUUGCAUCAUGAUUUAGCCAGUAACACCCAAGCAAAGAGCACUUUAGUUUGUGACCCCGAAACUAAGUGAGCUACUCCAGGACAGCCUAUUAACAGGGCAAACCCGUCUCUGUGGCAAAAGAGUGGGAAGAGCCUCGAGUAGAGGUGACAGACCUAUCGAACUUAGUUAUAGCUGGUUGUCUAGGAACUGAAUAGAAGUUCAGCCUCCUGGCUUCUUCCCUCACCUUGACCUUAGUCCCUUCUGAGCCUCAAGAAACCAAGAGAGUUAAUUAAAGGGGGUACAGCCCCUUUAAAACAAGACACAACUUUAUCAGAUGGGUAAAGAUCAUACUUCACCAAGGCAAAGUGUUCUAGUGGGCCUAAAAGCAGCCACCCAAUAGAAAGCGUUAAAGCUCAGACACCCCAAACAUGCCUCUAAUCCCGAUAACAAUUCUUAACCCCCUAAUCCUACUAGACCGCCCCAUGCCAAGCAUGGGAGAGAUUAUGCUAAUAUGAGUAAUAAGAGAGCCCAGGCCCUCUCCUAGCACAAGUGUAAAUCGGAACGAACCCCCACCGAACAUUACCGGCCCCAACCCAAGAGGGCAAUGAGAAAAAAACAAACAACCAGAAAACUCCCCAACAAACAACCGUUACCCCCACACUGGUGUGCACCCAAGGAAAGACCAAAAGAAAAAGAAGGAACUCGGCAAACAUUAGCCUCGCCUGUUUACCAAAAACAUCGCCUCUUGCAAAAUCAACAAAUAAGAGGUCACGCCUGCCCUGUGACAGAUAGUUUAACGGCCGCGGUAUUUUGACCGUGCAAAGGUAGCGCAAUCACUUGUCUUUUAAAUGAAGACCUGUAUGAAUGGCACGACGAGGGCUUGACUGUCUCCUUUUUCAAGUCAAUGAAAUUGAUCUCCCCGUGCAGAAGCGGGGAUAGACCCAUAAGACGAGAAGACCCUAUGGAGCUUCAGACACAAAAGUAGAUCUUGUUAAACCCCCUAAAACAAAAGACUAAACCAAAAGAACCCUACCCUAAUGUCUUUGGUUGGGGCGACCGCGGGGAAAAAACUAACCCCCAUGUGGAAUAAGAGAACUUCUCUUACAAACAAGAGCCACAGCUCCAGUUAACAGAAAAUCUGACCUUAAGAUCCGGCAAUGCCGAUCAACGGACCGAGUUACCCUAGGGAUAACAGCGCAAUCUCCUUUUAGAGCCCAUAUCGACAAGGAGGUUUACGACCUCGAUGUUGGAUCAGGACAUCCUAAUGGUGCAGCCGCUAUUAAGGGUUCGUUUGUUCAACGAUUAAAGUCCU
RNAcentral lists this ribosomal RNA (1507 nucleotides) under Ctenopoma acutirostre (spotted ctenopoma). RNAcentral's name for it is "partial 16S ribosomal RNA". It matches the Rfam family "Bacterial large subunit ribosomal RNA", at positions 216 to 2597 of the family's 2925-position model. Lineage: Eukaryota; Metazoa; Chordata; Actinopteri; Anabantiformes; Anabantidae. The record is from RNAcentral.